Molecule: long non-coding RNA, 1227 nt
Organism: Melanotaenia boesemani (Boeseman's rainbowfish)
Lineage: Eukaryota; Metazoa; Chordata; Actinopteri; Atheriniformes; Melanotaeniidae
Exons: 3
Source: RefSeq, a predicted model, not a curated record
UGACUGUUGAAACAGAACAAAGUUCACAUUGUUAACAGCAGUGGCAUUUAUUCAAGAGACAAAACCACAGAAGAAGAAGAAGAAGACAGAGAACAUCGGAGAGCCAGUACUUUUGUUGUUGUUGUCAACGUUGUCUCUGUACUUCAAAAAUAAUCUCUUUCAAUAGAAUUCAGAGCUAAAAUCCACUUUAUCUUUCAACUUGCUGCAACAUACUUAUGCUGGAUGAAUUUUUAAAGUUUUAAAGUUAUUCUGUUAUGAGACAACCAUUAACAAACCAACAUCUUUGACCUUCAGCUGAAGUCUGACUGCUGGAGACCAUUUCAAACAUCAGGAGGGAAAACAUUCAAAUCUAUACAUCAGGGAAAACUUGCAAGUAUGGAGGUGUUGAGUGGGCCCUGGGCUGAUUUGGCUCUGCUCCUGAGACAGACUGUCACACUGUCAAACAUCGAGACAGGCAGCUUUCUCCCUCUCUGGCUGUUUGGCCUGCUGCUGUUCCUGUCUGUUUGUCUGCUGCUGCUGCAAAUAAUUAUCUUCUUCAGCUGGAAACUCAGACAGACUGAGGCAAAUCUAGCAAGGUUUCAGCAGGAUGGAAGUGCCAUCCACAGGCAGAUGGACAGAAGUGCAUAUCUGAAGCGAAGAAGUUUCGGGUUUCAUUCGUGUACCUGACGUGAGACAUAAACAUUAAUGGGCACAUUUUAACAUGGAUGGGAACAGACAAGGUAUAUAUAGUGGAUUAUGCUGUAUUCUGAAUACAGUGCAUCUGGACUCAGGCAAUGAACAUUGGGAAAAAAAAACAUUAUCUGUGUUUGAAACUGUAGAAACCCUCAGGGCCAUCUGGAAAUUAUAAAGAAAAAGAAAAAUCUGUUCUUAUACAAUAAAUUGUUUGGAAAUAAUGUUUAUCAGUCUUGAUAAAUAAAAAAAAAUCCCUUCUACAGAUGUAUCUAUAAUUGUAUGUAAAGCUCAUAAGAGACAAUGAAGUGUUUGUAAUGUGAUCACAGUGUACACUGUUCUGUACACAUUUUAUUAGAAUGACUGGACAAAAUACAUAGUUCUCACAUCAUGUGUGUCAACAUAUGAAUAAAGUGAGUGUAUGAGGAAAAGAAACGCUUCAAAGGAUUUCAGAGUAUAACAAUCCUUUAUUUAAACAGUGUUACACAGGGGGGAGGAGUGGAUGUGUGUGGGGAAACACAACACAAUUAAGCUGCUAGACCAAAAGAAAAAAAGAAG